This 1788-nucleotide ribosomal RNA is filed under the name Triticum aestivum (bread wheat). RNAcentral describes it as "partial small subunit ribosomal RNA". Lineage: Eukaryota; Viridiplantae; Streptophyta; Magnoliopsida; Poales; Poaceae. The record is from RNAcentral.
AUGGCAGAGGAGGCCAAUGGAGUGGUAGAUGGACGAGGCGAGGAAGCCCGCAACCACAAGUCAUGGUCUGAUGUGUGGGCGCAUUUCGAGCGUUUCUUAGGCGCCGAUGGGAGGCAGAGAGCAAGGUGCAAAAAGUGCGGCAUAGAACUAUUGGCUGAAACCAAAAAUGGCACCAGUCGCCUUGGACGGCAUGCCCGAGACACUUGUCCAGGGAAUGGUGGUGCUCCAGAGCAGCAGCAAGGACGCCACAGGAAACGUGCAAGAUCACUACCAAUUCUUCGUGAAUCACCAGGUACCAGUAAGCUUGCCAUGGAGGAAGCUAAUGCAGACCUGGCUAGAAUGCUCGCCUUUCAUGGAUACCAUCCAUCUUUUGUUCAAGACAGAUACUUCCGGAGCUUCGUGCGACGGCUUAACCCUGAUUUUCAGAUACCCUCAUGGGAUGCCAUUCAAGAGAUGUCCAAUGGUAUCCUGGAAAAAGCACGGAGGGAUUUCAGCUCUGAAAUAGAUCGCACUUCUUCAAACCUCAGUUGGGCAAUAGACACAGUUGAAACUGUCGACGGGAUAGCCUUAUAUGUUGCGUGCCACUUUAUAGAUGAUGAAUGGAAUCUUCGUAAGAUGAUCAUGGAUCAGUACGGAGUUGCAACUCGCCACUAUUUCCCCGAAUUAGGUAGCAAUACGUAUGAGUACUGUCUCAAAGAUGGAGAUGACUGCUCGACGGUUGCUGAGUGCAUAGGUUACCUUGAUGAGUUAGCUAAUUGUUUCAGCAUGAUAGUCGGAAAAACCGGUAAUCUGAUGGAUUACUUGGCCUUGGAGAAAGAUUCAGGUGUUGUUCAUAAGUCCACCUUUGUGAACGUAGUGCUUCACUCAAUCGCCCAAUGUCUUUUUGACAAUCUAAAACUAGAAUUCUAUUUGGAUGUAUGCUUCGACAUGUCGAUUGCGGAAACUAGUCAAGAGGUUUAUUCACAGCUUGGCAUGGAUGAGCUUCGACCAUACCAAAACCAGUGGUAUUUAUGCUAUUGUUGUGUGCAAUUUCUUCAUCACAAUAGAGAUGAUGAAGUUUCAGAAUUCGAGAAAUUAUUGAGCAAGCUUUGGGGAGAAAUAUACCGUGCCAUUAAAACUGUCUCUGAUCCCAGUUUUCCAACUUCACAUCUUGGCCUUGUGGAAUUGUUUAAGAUCAGAGACCUUUUGCAGUCUGAACUGACAAGAGCCAGUGGAGAUACAACACCAACUUACGAGUACAGUUGUUUUGACAAGGAUGUUAAGCAUGUUCUUGAACUUGCAAAAGGCGAAGUAGACAGGAGCAUAGAAGAUUCAUACCGUGUAUGGUCCUUACCACUUGUGCUAGACCCCAGAUACAAACUCGGAUACAUAGAAUUCAAGUUCCCUAAGGUGUUUGGCACUGCCGCAGUGGCAGAAAACAAUAUCUCCAAGGUAAAAGAAUUCCUCAGGAAGACAUUUGAUGAUUACGAUGAAGAUGAUGAAACCACUGAUGGAGAUCCAAGUCAUAUCACUACAUUAGAUCAAGCAUGGUAUGAGCAGUACUGUUUAGAGGAUGGCGUGGCAGGGCCACAGGUAGCUGGCACAGAACUUGAUCGUUACCUCCAAGAUCCUCUCGUCCCUCCAACAGACAUUUUUAACAUUCUGAACUGGUGGAAGGUUAACAGCUCAAACUACCCGAAGGUGGCUAGGAUGGCAAGGGAUGCUCUGGCCAUUCCCACAAGCAACAGCCUUUCCUCUGAACAAAUCUCCGUGCUCAAUCUGUUGAUAUAUAAAAAAGCGUUAGUAUGA